RNAcentral lists this long non-coding RNA (270 nucleotides) under Carica papaya (papaya). RNAcentral describes it as "long non-coding RNA (CPAP_LNC000404)". Lineage: Eukaryota; Viridiplantae; Streptophyta; Magnoliopsida; Brassicales; Caricaceae. The record is from RNAcentral.
UAUAUGGGUUUACCUUUGCUCCCCUUUUAAUGUUGCAAAUCUGAUUCCUUUUGCAGGCAGUAGAAAGAGAGGAGAUAGGGUUUUGCAUGCCUCCUUUUUUCACUUUUAACUAUCUCCUUUUCUCCUUUUUAAAGCUCCUCAUUUUUCCUCUUCAAAGAUGCUUCCUUUUUCCUUUUCAGUGCUACUUCAUUUUUCCUCUUCAGAGCUGUUCAUUCUUCAUGUUCAGAUUUACUCCCUUUUUCCUUUUCGGAGUUGCUUCCUUUUUAUUCU